Helianthus annuus (common sunflower) is the source of this 184-nucleotide long non-coding RNA. RefSeq lists it as uncharacterized. The record is from RefSeq and is a predicted model, not a curated record. Lineage: Eukaryota; Viridiplantae; Streptophyta; Magnoliopsida; Asterales; Asteraceae. The transcript has 3 exons.
GUGCCUGCCUUUAUACAGUUAGAUACAAAAUUAUCUAUUUUUGAAACCGGAACUAAAGUAGUAGAUCUUUUAGCCCCUUAUCGCCGUGGAGGAAAACAGUACUCAUUAUGGAAUUGAUUAACAAUAUUGCCAAAGCUCACGGAGGCGUAUCUGUAUUUGGCGGAGUCGGUAAAACAGUACGCAU